AGAAGGUGGAAACAGGCCUAAGCACAGCCAGGCAAGAGGCAUUGCCUAUAGCCAGUCUUUCCUCCAUAAGGCAGAAGAGAUGGUGGUCACUGCAUUGGCAUGCUAUGAGAAAGCAAAGGAGUGCAAGAACCUUAGAGUGAAAUGAAGCGGAGGCACUGGUGACAUCUUACUGAGGGGACACAUCAAGGCAGCACAGAAACACUUCCCAAAGAGAACAGGAAAUGUGUCAGUUGCUAGAGAUGAAGCAGUGAACAAGACAGACCAAGCCAUUUUCCUCAGGGGACUACAUUUCAUUGGGGGAGAUAGACAAUGAACAAAUAAAUAAAUAAAUAAUUA
Suricata suricatta (meerkat) is the source of this 336-nucleotide long non-coding RNA. RefSeq lists it as uncharacterized. The record is from RefSeq and is a predicted model, not a curated record. Lineage: Eukaryota; Metazoa; Chordata; Mammalia; Carnivora; Herpestidae. The transcript has 3 exons.